CUACGGGCUGCAGCAGUGGGGAAUAUUGCACAAUGGGCGCAAGCCUGAUGCAGCCAUGCCGCGUGUAUGAAGAAGGCCUUCGGGUUGUAAAGUACUUUCAGCGGGGAGGAAGGGAGUAAAGUUAAUACCUUUGCUCAUUGACGUUACCCGCAGAAGAAGCACCGGCUAACUCCGUGCCAGCAGCCGCGGUAAUACGGAGGGUGCAAGCGUUAAUCGGAAUUACUGGGCGUAAAGCGCACGCAGGCGGUUUGUUAAGUCAGAUGUGAAAUCCCCGGGCUCAACCUGGGAACUGCAUCUGAUACUGGGGAGCUAGAGUCUCGUAGAGGGGGGUAGAAUUCCAGGUGUAGCGGUGAAAUGCGUAGAGAUCUGGAGGAAUACCGGUGGCGAAGGCGGCCCCCUGGACGAAGACUGACGCUCAGGUGCGAAAGCGUGGGGAGCAAACAGGAUUAGAUACCCCAGUAGUC
Molecule: ribosomal RNA, 464 nt
Filed under: uncultured bacterium
Lineage: Bacteria
Description: partial 16S ribosomal RNA
Rfam family: Bacterial small subunit ribosomal RNA
Source: RNAcentral